GCUAUUAUUAUUUCAUCACUGUUCCAUAUAAUAUACAAUGAGAGAGUAUCCAACGCUAUAAUUUGUAUGAGAAUGUAGAACAGAAAAAAAGUUCAGGCUCAAAAUUUGAUUCUCAUAUACUUUUUUUGUUUCUAAAACUUGUCAAAAACUGGAUCCAAACCCGAGCAGACCCAGUCCAUAUCGUGGUCUCGUUCUCGAAGGAUUCCUUACUGUUUUUUGCUCCUCUGGCAACCAAGCUUUCAAAAAGGUGGCGUCGCGUGCCAAGCACGUCUCCAUAUUCCUGCAAGGUUUCGGAAGCCAAGCCGGCCAGCUUCAAAGCAGCGAGUGAGAGCCACCAUAUGUACGGCUCCACAUGCUUCCGCCGCGCGGUGGGACCCUUUCCGGUCCAACCUUCCCGAAGCCAGUGCGGGCCCGCCGGCGAACUCCCUCUCUUUCUCCACCUCCCUCCGUCGCAGUCAAAAGCCCAAAAACAAAACCGAUAAAACAAGGAAACACCACGUAUAAAGUACUUGAUCAAAAUCUAAGAAAGAGACUUGGCUCUCCA
Molecule: long non-coding RNA, 544 nt
Filed under: Elaeis guineensis (African oil palm)
Lineage: Eukaryota; Viridiplantae; Streptophyta; Magnoliopsida; Arecales; Arecaceae
Description: long non-coding RNA (EGUI_LNC023567)
Source: RNAcentral